CGGGAAUAUUGGACAAUGGGGGAAACCCUGAUCCAGCAAUGCCGCGUGAGUGAAGAAGGCCUUCGGGUUGUAAAACUCUUUCAUCAAUGAAGAUAAUGACAUUAAUUGAAGAAGAAGCUCCGGCUAACUCCGUGCCAGCAGCCGCGGUAAUACGGAGGGGGCUAGCGUUGUUCGGAAUUACUGGGCGUAAAGCGUAUGUAGGCGGAUCAAAAAGUUAGAUGUGAAAUCCCUGGGCUUAACCCAGGAACUGCAUUUAAAACUAGUGAUCUAGAAUUUGGUAGGGGUUAGUAGAAUUUCCAGUGUAGAGGUGAAAUUCGUAGAUAUUGGAAAGAAUACCAGUGGCGAAGGCGACUAACUGGGCCAUUUUUGACGCUGAGAUACGAAAGCGUGGGUAGCAAACAGG
This 403-nucleotide ribosomal RNA is filed under the name uncultured bacterium. RNAcentral's name for it is "bacterial SSU rRNA". It matches the Rfam family "Bacterial small subunit ribosomal RNA", at positions 356 to 776 of the family's 1533-position model. The record is from RNAcentral.